GACGAACGCUGGCGGCGUGCUUAACACAUGCAAGUCGAACGGUGAAGCGCCUUCCUUUUUGGUGGGUGUGGAUGAGUGGCGAACGGGUGAGUAACACGUGAGUAACCUGCCCCCUUCUUCUGGAUAACCGCAUGAAAGUGUGGCUAAUACGGGAUAUUCUGGGUCUGUCGCAUGAUGGGUCUGGGAAAGAUAUUGUUUCGGUGGGGGAUGGGCUCGCGGCCUAUCAGCUUGUUGGUGGGGUGAUGGCCUACCAAGGCGGUGACGGGUAGCCGGCCUGAGAGGGUGGACGGUCACACUGGGACUGAGACACGGCCCAGACUCCUACGGGAGGCAGCAGUGGGGAAUAUUGCACAAUGGGCGCAAGCCUGAUGCAGCGACGCCGCGUGAGGGAUGGAGGCCUUCGGGUUGUGAACCUCUUUCGCCAGUGAAGCAGGCCUGCCUCGUUUGUGGGUGGGUUGACGGUAGCUGGAUAAGGAGCGCCGGCUAACUACGUG
This 494-nucleotide ribosomal RNA is filed under the name uncultured bacterium. Its description in RNAcentral is "partial 16S ribosomal RNA". It matches the Rfam family "Bacterial small subunit ribosomal RNA", at positions 28 to 507 of the family's 1533-position model. The record is from RNAcentral.